RNAcentral lists this ribosomal RNA (1837 nucleotides) under Triticum aestivum (bread wheat). RNAcentral's name for it is "partial small subunit ribosomal RNA". Lineage: Eukaryota; Viridiplantae; Streptophyta; Magnoliopsida; Poales; Poaceae. The record is from RNAcentral.
UGAGUGCCCGUGUGGGUAGGCAGAUAGAGCGUGGCGAGCCUAUUUUAGGGGGAGGAGAAAGAGAGAGAGACGACGCGGGUUUUGUAGCGGCCCUACGCGGCGUUGGUCGUUGCCACUCCACUCUCCACCGGCCUAGGUCGAGUCCAGCGGUACCGCGUCUGCCGCUGCUGCCGUCCUCCCCGCGGUAGGCACCCCGUCCUGCGACGGUACCUCUACCUCGAGGAGGGGGGGUGCUGCGUCUCCGGGGUACCUCGGAGGGAGGAAGAGGCCACUGAAGAAGAGUCCGGGGUGGGGGAUGGAGACUGGACGCGGCGGCGGCGGUACCUGCAGCGGUAGAGUUCGGCGGAGGCGCGGAAGCUCUCGACCUACGCCUUCGUGCCGCAGCAGACGUCGCUGCACGAGGCGGAGCUGCGGUCGCUCCGGCCGCCGCAGUUGCACGCGCGCGAGCGGCGCGAGGCCCUCCCGCUGCAACAACGGUGGUAGGGCGCAGCGCGGACGCACUGCGGCGCGUGCAGGCCCCGGCGCCGCCGGUAGUUCCUGCGCGUCGAGCCACCGUGCGAGCGAGAGCGGCAGCGGCAGUACAUGCUCGCGCGCACCCCGCGGCUUAGCGGCACCAUGCUGAUGGAGGCGGACUAGGGCCUGACGCUCGGGCACGACGAGCAGACCAGUCUCCUGCUCCAGCGCGCGGAGGAACGGCCGUGGCUUGAGCUAUUCCACUUUGGAAGAGAACAUCAUUCAGCACCACACAUACAUAGAAUCAGACACUAAGUACAACGUUACGUCAUUUAAGACACUUAAAACGCAAAUACCUCACCUAAGGAGAUACCAUAUGACAUAGAACGUGAUCAAACCAAUCAAACUCAACGCACUUAGACACCAAACAAACGAGUUUAAUAAACAUGGCAGUCGAUUAACCAGGCACAGAUUAUUACAUAAGGUAGUAUGACACUUUAGCAUAGUCGGUUUAAAUAGGAUGGUACAAAGUAUAGCUCGAACAGGUUCGAAGAGAUUUUUACCGUUUAAAGAUCCGUCUGUCACUUCGUUCUGUCCCUUAAGGAAGCACUCCUAACCUUCUUACAUACCUCGGUGAGUAAAGAAGACCUCUUAACCCACAGUUCGGUCUACUAGAAUCGGACCUCUUUAUAAAACGACGAUUUUCAGAAGAAAGCAGUUCCAGGAAGGCAUAUCUAUUUAUAGUACCAAGACCUAACCAAGGGGACCGACUGGAGAUUCGAUGUUAGAUGGAUACAUUAAACUAAGUAAAAUAGACGAAUACAACGUUUAUGACGUAGACAAUGCAACACCACUGACCACUCAAUAUCACCAAACUUAUAAUUGUUCCUAUACACGGGAAGUGACAUAAACCAAUAGUCAAAAUUAGUGUUCUGACUACCACUUGUACAGGUGAAGUGAUUCAGUCUUCGGAGUCUGAGACUACUUCUUCUUAUACUACUACUAGUUUCGUUACGUCUUCUUUAGCUGUACCCCGACGCCUCCGCUGAUGCUACUGUAGUAGUGCCACGACGCCGCCGCCGCUGCUGCUGCCGUAGCAGUGCCACGACGACGCCGCCGCUGCUGCUGCCGUAGUAGUGCCACGACGGCGCCGCCGCCGCUGCUGCUGUUGCUGUAGUUGUGGUAGUUUGUGCCCGAACACCUCCGCGGCUGAGGCUGCCGGAUAUGCGCACGUAUAUAACACACACACACAUAAUUAAUAGAUAUAGUCUAUACAUACUAACAGACAUGUGUACAUUACAUGUAUAAUAAUUUACGUACAUACACUCAUGAUACUUUACAUACAGAUUUGAGCUCCAUCUAAAAAUAAAAAAAUUUAGGAUUA